Long non-coding RNA from Armigeres subalbatus, 482 nucleotides. RefSeq lists it as uncharacterized. NCBI's taxonomy places the organism in Eukaryota, Metazoa, Arthropoda, Insecta, Diptera, Culicidae. The transcript has 3 exons. The record is from RefSeq and is a predicted model, not a curated record.
CAUAUCUUUGUGUGUAAUAUUACAAUCAUCUGCUAUACAAUAUUAAAUCUUGGCAACACUGACCAGACUUUUGCUCAUCGCAGUUUUGAUCUGGUUGGCGACGGUGUGCCAUAUUGAAUUUUGUUGCUUCCUUGUAAAACGAAGAUUCGUCAAUUCAACCAGGGGAACCGGAAAACCGUCACGGUUUUAUAUAACCGUCAGGAAUAUGGAUACCUGGGGCGCAGCUAAAUCGGCCUGAAAUAAACAGACGUCUUCAUAAUCAAAUUGGCGAUCGUGGCCGUCAGCUGCUGAACAUUCAACAGCUCGGAAGCGGUGAACGAAGUAACGUCGGACCACAGGAUAUACGCACGGAUCAUACCGUAUUAUUGCAACAACAAAGAAGUUCAGGUGGAUUGAGAUAAUCCGUCGGAAAUCGUUGCGGGAUAACCUCGCCACAACGGGAAUCCAUUGGGGAUUCCGGCAGGAAUUCGAAUAAAAUGAAG